ACAGGUGGUGCAUGGUUGUCGUCAGCUCGUGUCGUGAGAUGUUGGGUUAAGUCCCGCAACGAGCGCAACCCYUAUCCCCAGUAGCCAGCRGGUAAAGSUGGGCACUCUGAGGAGACUGCCAGGGAUAACCUGGAGGAAGGYGGGGAUGACGUCAAAUCAUCAUGCCCCUUAUGAUUUGGGCUACACACGUGCUACAAUGGCGUAAACAAAG
This 211-nucleotide ribosomal RNA is filed under the name uncultured bacterium. Its description in RNAcentral is "partial 16S ribosomal RNA". It matches the Rfam family "Bacterial small subunit ribosomal RNA", at positions 1034 to 1244 of the family's 1533-position model. The record is from RNAcentral.